GACGAACGCUGGCGGCGUGCUUAACACAUGCAAGUCGAACGGUAAGGCCUUUCGGGGUACACGAGUGGCGAACGGGUGAGUAACACGUGGGUGAUCUGCCCUGCACUUUGGGAUAAGCCUGGGAAACUGGGUCUAAUACCGAAUAGGACCAUGGACUUCACGGUUUGUGGUGGAAAGCUUUUGCGGUGUGGGAUGGGCCCGCGGCCUAUCAGCUUGUUGGUGGGGUAAUGGCCUACCAAGGCGACGACGGGUAGCCGGCCUGAGAGGGUGACCGGCCACACUGGGACUGAGAUACGGCCCAGACUCCUACGGGAGGCAGCAGUGGGGAAUAUUGCACAAUGGGCGCAAGCCUGAUGCAGCGACGCCGCGUGAGGGAUGACGGCCUCGGUUGUAACUACUUCUAGCACAGACGAAGCGCAAGUGACGGUAUGUGCAGAAGAAGGAACCGGCCGAACUACGUGCCAGCAGCCGCGGUAAU
Molecule: ribosomal RNA, 478 nt
Filed under: uncultured bacterium
Lineage: Bacteria
Description: bacterial SSU rRNA
Rfam family: Bacterial small subunit ribosomal RNA
Source: RNAcentral